CUAAUAGGGCCGAUGGUAAAGGCAAAUUACCCACUCACCGUCGGAUCCUUACAAGGCACCCAGACCUACAUCCCUACAUCCCAUCUCCUGCGAAUGACGGGUAGAGGGCCUUGUCGUGUGUCUGGAGUAACUCCUUCGCGUCCGACUCAUUAAAGAAAAAAAUCGUAUUCCAGUAUGAAGUUUCGACCCAAUGAUUCGUCUGACAAACAAAGAACUUCACGUCCUGCAGGCGCAGGCACGGAUCAAAGCUGGCGAGACAUUCAAUGACGCCAUCUUCACAGACAAAUCAACCUUGGCCCUUGAGGAUUUUGCUCAAAAUUGCUACAGAAAAAAAGGAAGAAGAUCAAGCAAGCCAAGUCCCAAACAUCCCCCCAAACUCCAUGUGUGUGUGGAGGGGCAAUUUCUCACAAGGGACCAGGACCAUAUGAUUUUUGAUGACAAUGACCCAAAACAUACUGCUGCCCGGGUUUGCAAAUGAGGGGAUAAACUGGGUCAAGAUGCCAGCAGAGU
Molecule: long non-coding RNA, 510 nt
Organism: Oncorhynchus kisutch (coho salmon)
Lineage: Eukaryota; Metazoa; Chordata; Actinopteri; Salmoniformes; Salmonidae
Exons: 3
Source: RefSeq, a predicted model, not a curated record